UGAGUUUUCUGUUCUUGCAUGG
Molecule: non-coding RNA, 22 nt
Filed under: Rattus norvegicus (Norway rat)
Lineage: Eukaryota; Metazoa; Chordata; Mammalia; Rodentia; Muridae
Source: RNAcentral